Molecule: long non-coding RNA, 236 nt
Filed under: Panax ginseng (ginseng)
Lineage: Eukaryota; Viridiplantae; Streptophyta; Magnoliopsida; Apiales; Araliaceae
Description: long non-coding RNA (PGIN_LNC018452)
Source: RNAcentral
UUGUUUAAAUAAUAAUAAUAAUAAUAAUAAAAAGAGGUAAACCCAAUUUCGCCUAUUAAUCCUCUUGAAUUUGAACAGAGAAGGUGACAAAAAACUGCAAAUUCCAAACAAUUCCCAAUGAACCUCUUUCCUCUUUCUAAUGGCUGCAACUUUCUCCACGGCUCUAGAUGGAUUUUAAUUGUAGAGCAUACAACACUCAAGAUACAAAGAACCCCAACUAGCUUCACUUCAUCAAU